CUCCAUUCACCAAAAUUAAUUAAUAUUUAGUAUGUGGACAACCAAUAUCUAAAACGAUUUGCAUUUAAUAAAUAAAGUGACAUCAUUUUAAUGUAUGAAUUCCUUUAUAAGUAGUACAAAACAUGUGCUCAUAAUGCAAACUUAAGAAAAUUAAUAAUUUUUGUACUAUAAAAAAAUGUUGAACCAUGUUUUCCAAAAUGAAUGACUCCUAAAAUUCCCAAAAACAGGGAUAUAUUUUUUCUCACAUCUUUUAUACAUUGUCUUUUUUAUGUUUUAAACAUUGCAAACAAAGAGAAUGAUCAGGAAAAUUUAUUUGGGAGUCUUAGUAACUGACAUAAUUUAAUGUGGAUUGAAAAACAAUGUAUGAAGUCACCAGUGAAUGGAGGAUUUAUCUAUGUGGAUAUACAUGGAAUCCUUACAGUCCUUAAUGUUUUAAGUGUUAUGCAGUAAUCUCAAAGAGAGAAACUCAUUUAUUUUUUGGUGUAAUGGAAUAAUUAUUUAAAUUUCCUCAGCUACUGCUGAAAUUUUGAUUAAAAUUCACCUUUUCCACACAUUUUAAUAUAGAAAACAUAGAUAUUAUUUAAAUAGAAAGGACUGGACUCCUGUCACGGACUUUUCCUAAAAACAAUCUUUAACCUCCUUUCUACCCUUCUCCCUGCCUCCUGAUACCAAGUUUACAUAACGAAAGUCAACUAAAUAGUUCCAGUAUUCAACAUCUGCUUUUUUCCAUUUGUUUCUUACUAUGCAUACUUUGCCCACAAGUGUUUCAGACAAACUGUACUCUAUUCUUUUCUUGUUUCUGGUCAUUUGUUCACAAAGUCCACUUUACCUAGUAUGCCCUCUGUAAUUUCUCCUAUUUAAAAUCCACCAACCCCUUUAAAUACAACUAAAAUGCAAAAAUGCAUGAAAAGGCUUUUUCCUUUAUAUCUAAAGAUAUCUUAUUCUACCCUGUGCUCCCAAUGUCCUUUGGGUUUCCAUUACAGUCUUUAAUUCAUAUUGCCUCAUGUGAUACACAUUUGUGUACACGCAUUUCUUAGAAUGGCAAUCAUGAAGGGCUCGCCAUUUAUGUUCUGUAGCAUGUGACAUAUAUUCUAUUGAUAAUUAUUAGUUUUAUAUUAGUUUUUUUCCUUUAAUUUAUUCCUUAACCAAAGAUUAAUGUUGUUGUUUUUUUCUUCUGCACGUCUUCCUAGCAAGUUAUAAUUUCCAAACUGGACAUGGUGAUGGACACUUGUGGUCCCAGCUACUCAAGAGGCUGAGACAGGAAGAUGGCUUGAGCCCAGGAGUUCCAGCCUACUGUGAGCUAUGACUGCUACACUGCAUUCCAGCAUGGGUGACAGAGCUAGACCCCAUCUUUUAAAAAAAGAGUUAUAAUUUUCAAAUAAAUCUACCUUUAUGAUUUCACUUACCCCAAACUAAAAGAGUAUGUAUUGAAGUUUCUUAGAGAUGAAACACUUAUCAUGCUAUUUCUUAUGAUCUCAUUCUGGUAUGUUUUCAUAAUACAUGCAAUAUCUAUUUUUCAAAAGAUGAUAUCUGUAUAAUCUCAAAAUUCUAUGAUUUUAGUAAUCUGGUAAUACUAUAAAAAAUUUAUCCCAUUCCUACUCAAUUGUACAGUAGGAAAAAUAAAAAUCAGUCUCAUUUUAUAUAACAA
This 1648-nucleotide long non-coding RNA is filed under the name Homo sapiens (human). Its description in RNAcentral is "HSALNT0271555". The record is from RNAcentral. Lineage: Eukaryota; Metazoa; Chordata; Mammalia; Primates; Hominidae.